AUUGAACGCUGGCGGCAGGCCUAACACAUGCAAGUCGAGCGGAUGAAGGGAGCUUGCUCCUGGAUUCAGCGGCGGACGGGUGAGUAAUGCCUAGGAAUCUGCCUGGUAGUGGGGGAUAACUUCGGGAAACGGGCGCUAAUACCGCAUACGUCCUAGGGGGGAAAGGGGGGGAUCUUCGGACCUCACGCUAUCGGAUGAGCCUAGGUCGGAUUAGCUAGUUGGUGGGGUAAAGGCCUACCAAGGCGACGAUCCGUAACUGGUCUGAGAGGAUGAUCAGUCACACUGGAACUGAGACACGGUCCAGACUCCUACGGGAGGCAGCAGUGGGGAAUAUUGGACAAUGGGCGAAAGCCUGAUCCAGCCAUGCCGCGUGUGUGAAGAAGGUCUUCGGAUUGUAAAGCACUUUAAGUUGGGAGGAAGGGCAGUAAGUUAAUACCUUGCUGUUUUGACGUUACCAACAGAAUAAGCACCGGCUAACUUCGUG
RNAcentral lists this ribosomal RNA (484 nucleotides) under uncultured bacterium. Its description in RNAcentral is "partial 16S ribosomal RNA". It matches the Rfam family "Bacterial small subunit ribosomal RNA", at positions 30 to 507 of the family's 1533-position model. The record is from RNAcentral.